This 201-nucleotide unclassified non-coding RNA is filed under the name Borreliella burgdorferi (Lyme disease spirochete). RNAcentral's name for it is "partial 5S-23S ribosomal RNA intergenic spacer". The record is from RNAcentral. Lineage: Bacteria; Pseudomonadati; Spirochaetota; Spirochaetia; Spirochaetales; Borreliaceae.
UUUUUUUUACUUUAAACUUUGAUUUUAUUUUUAUGUUUUUUAAAUAUUGGUGUUUUUGAAUGUGUUGUUUAAAUAACAUAAAAAAUAAAAUAUAUAUUGACAUGUAUUAAACAAAGAUAUAUAUUAUUUUAUGUUGUAUAAAUAAAUUGGCAAAAUAGAGAUGGAAGAUAAAAAUAUGGUCAAAGUAAUAAGAGUCUAUGG